Hippopotamus amphibius kiboko is the source of this 1306-nucleotide RNA transcript. It is a transcript of the gene named N-alpha-acetyltransferase 60, NatF catalytic subunit, with no coding region annotated. Lineage: Eukaryota; Metazoa; Chordata; Mammalia; Artiodactyla; Hippopotamidae. The transcript has 6 exons. The record is from RefSeq and is a predicted model, not a curated record.
GGGAGGCGGAAGUGCCUCGGGCCGCCGCCUCCGUCCCGGCUGCGGACCCUGCCGGUUACAUAACUGGUUGCGGGCUCCGCGCGGCCUCACUUCCUGGCUCCCAGCGAAGCGAGGAUGCACUGAGCCCCACAAAACCGUCCGCUGCCGCCGGCUCCCGCCCGAGGUGUGAAUGACAGAGGUGGUGCCAUCCAGCGCCCUCAGUGAGGUCAGCCUGCGCCUCCUCUGCCACGAUGACAUAGACACCGUGAAGCACCUGUGUGGCGACUGGUUCCCCAUCGAGUACCCAGACUCAUGGUAUCGUGAUAUCACCUCCAACAAGAAGUUCUUUUCCCUCGCCGCAACCUACAGGGGUGCCAUUGUGGGAAUGAUUGUAGCUGAAAUAAAAAGUAGGACCAAGAUACACAAGGAGGACGGAGAUAUUCUAGCCUCCAGCUUCUCCGUUGACACACAGGUUGCGUACAUCCUAAGCCUGGGAGUAGUGAAGGAGUUCAGGAAGCACGGCAUAGGUUCCCUAUUACUUGAGAGUUUAAAGGAUCACAUAUCAACCACUGCCCAGGACCACUGCAAAGCCAUCUACCUGCACGUCCUCACUACCAACAAUACGGCGAUAAACUUCUACGAAAACAGAGACUUUAAGCAGCAUCACUAUCUCCCCUAUUACUACUCCAUCCGAGGAGUCCUCAAAGAUGGCUUCACCUACGUCCUCUACAUCAACGGCGGCCACCCACCCUGGACCAUCUUAUAUCCUUUCUCUUUCGGGGGUGAGGGAUCGUGGCCCGUGUGCCAGCUAGAGCUGUGGUCGCCUUCAUGUGGUAUCCUCGAGGCCAAGCUCACGGGACCAGAUGUUGUGGGUGGGUGUGACCAGCACGUCUUGGGAAAUGAUGAUCUGGGCGUGGACACUGGGAAAGCAGAUGCGCUCUGGCUCUCGGUGCUCGCUGGACGUCAGCCUGGUGUGAGGGGAGGGUGUUCAGCUUCCUGGCCCAAGAGCCAUCCCUCUUUCAAGUAUGGAUUGGGAGCCUCCUGUUCCAGGGGCACAGGGGAAACAACAGUGAACAAAACAGACAGAAGCGGCUGCUCUCACAGGGCUCUGUGCUGGAGGGGAGAAAACAAGCAAUGAGGUGAAAAGAAUUGUUUGCUGUUUUUGAACACUUGGGUUCAAACCUUCUUUACCAGGAUCUACCGCCAGGCUCACAGCCUGCUCUGCAGCUUCCUGCCAUGGUCAAGCAUCUCCACCAAGGGUGGCAUCGAGUACAGCCGGACCAUGUGAUGCCAUCCGGGCAGCCUCUGCCGGGCCCCACCCCUCGGC